This 74-nucleotide transfer RNA is filed under the name Rhodospirillaceae bacterium. Its description in RNAcentral is "tRNA-Phe". It matches the Rfam family "tRNA". From Rfam's summary of the family: Transfer RNA (tRNA) molecules are approximately 80 nucleotides in length. Their secondary structure includes four short double-helical elements and three loops (D, anti-codon, and T loops). Further hydrogen bonds mediate the characteristic L-shaped molecular structure. tRNAs have two regions of fundamental functional importance: the anti-codon, which is responsible for specific mRNA codon recognition, and the 3' end, to which the tRNAs corresponding amino acid is attached (by aminoacyl-tRNA synthetases). tRNAs cope with the degeneracy of the genetic code in two manners: having more than one tRNA (with a specific anti-codon) for a particular amino acid; and 'wobble' base-pairing, i.e. permitting non-standard base-pairing at the 3rd anti-codon position. The record is from RNAcentral. Lineage: Bacteria; Pseudomonadati; Pseudomonadota; Alphaproteobacteria; Rhodospirillales; Rhodospirillaceae.
GCCGAGGUAGCUCAGCCUGGUAGAGCACGGCACUGAAAAUGCCGGUGUCGGUGGUUCGAAUCCGCCCCUCGGCA